This 1227-nucleotide long non-coding RNA is filed under the name Trifolium pratense (red clover). Its description in RNAcentral is "long non-coding RNA (TPRA_LNC001821)". Lineage: Eukaryota; Viridiplantae; Streptophyta; Magnoliopsida; Fabales; Fabaceae. The record is from RNAcentral.
AAGGUAUAAAUAUAAAGCAAAAUCUCACUAUUCUUACCAUGACAACUCCUCUCAAGUUCAAAAUGCACCUCACUCUUGGUGCAUCACUAUAGCUUUGCUUUUUGUGCCUUCAAGUUUCAAAUCACAAAGUUAAGUCAAAACUCAAAAUAGUUGAAAAGAAACAUCUUUGAAAUAGGUAAAGGUUAGUGUAUGAUUUGGAUCCAACAAGUUUGGCUCUAGUACCAAAUGCAGAAUAAAUAAAAACUCCAAAACCAUAAUAAUGUAUACUGCAAUCAACUGAGAUAAAUAAAUCUAAUUAAACUCCCUCAACUAUGAUGAAUCAAUCUGAUACACAUGCAGCAACUGAGGAUAGUUUGGGCCAAGAGGAAAAGAGUCCAAUAUAACCAUCAUAAUCAGAAAAUCAAGGUUGUUGUUGAGCAUCAAUAUAACCAGGCAUCAACAAGAACUUUCUCCUUCUUAGCCAUUUCAACAUCAUUAUCACCCAUCAUUCUACAAGCUCUUCAAAACUAACAUUAGGUUUCCAAACAAUAAUUCGAGGACCAACCUUUCAGAUUAUCAACUUCAGUUGGACGAAAAUACCUCUUAUCAAUAACAACAUGAUCCUUCCAAUUCAAUCCAACAUAACCAUAAGCCAAGUCAAGACUUAUGAAAGAAAAAUCCACCAAAGAUUCCUAUACAUAAAUAGUAUUUUCAUUUUGUGACCCUAUGAUUUCUAUUUCAACAGGGGAAAAAUUCAAUCAAUCCCUCAGAUGAUGAUAAUGUAUAGUUUAGGACAUUUAUUUGAUAUAACUAGCUCUUAAGUUUAGAAUUAAGGUUCAAAAAGGGUAUGUGAUACAAUCCGAAAAUUAAUUCUAAACUUAAUUAAGUUUUCCCUACUUAAUUCAAAAAAUUCUUCAUCAUCAUCAAAUAUUCACACAGAAAAUAUUACAUUUGAUACAAUCCAAAUUGACAAGGAAUUUAAAGAUGAUGAGUAAGAAAGAGGGAGUGAUGCUGCUCACCAGAAAUACAGAGAUAGACACAACACAACCAUUCAGGUCUGUCAAAGAGGCUGUUACACGAGCUCUAUGCAACUGCAACCAAACUCAAGCACCAGGUUCUAUAUAUCAAUCUAUUUAUUACAUGUUUAACAAUUAACAAGAAAACUAUAAGUCUAUAACAUGCAGAUUUUAGGGUUAUAGUCGAUUUUUGGAAUUUUGGCCGAUUUUAGGUUUUUUUGCCGAUUUUUCG